GAGUUUGAUCCUGGCUCAGGAUGAACGCUGGCGGCAUGCCUAAUACAUGCAAGUCGAACGGAAUCUUAUAUGUUCCUCGUUUCGGAUUUAGUUCCGAGUUGGGGAACAAUAAGAUUUAGUGGCUGACGGGUGAGUAACACGUUGGUACCUACCCUCUAGUGGGGAAUAACUUCGAGAAAUCGAGGCUAAUACCGCAUAAUAUCUACGGAUUAAAGCAUUUAUGCGCUAGAGGAGGGGCCUGCGUCUGAUUAGCUUGUUGGUGAGGUAAAAAGCUCACCAAGGCGACGAUCAGUAGCUGGAUCGAGAGGUUGACCAGCCACACUGGGACUGAGAUACGGCCCAGACUCCUACGGGAGGCAGCAGUAAGGAAUCUUCCACAAUGGGCGAAAGCCUGAUGGAGCAAUGCCGCGUGCAGGAUGACGGCCUUCGGGUUGUAAACUGCUUUUAUAUGGGAAGAUUAUGACGGUACCACAUGAAUAAGGACCGGCUAACUACGUG
RNAcentral lists this ribosomal RNA (498 nucleotides) under uncultured bacterium. RNAcentral's name for it is "bacterial SSU rRNA". It matches the Rfam family "Bacterial small subunit ribosomal RNA", at positions 9 to 507 of the family's 1533-position model. The record is from RNAcentral.